RNAcentral lists this RNase P RNA (337 nucleotides) under uncultured Faecousia sp. Its description in RNAcentral is "Bacterial RNase P class A". It matches the Rfam family "Bacterial RNase P class A". From Rfam's summary of the family: Ribonuclease P (RNase P) is a ubiquitous endoribonuclease, found in archaea, bacteria and eukarya as well as chloroplasts and mitochondria. Its best characterised activity is the generation of mature 5'-ends of tRNAs by cleaving the 5'-leader elements of precursor-tRNAs. Cellular RNase Ps are ribonucleoproteins. The record is from RNAcentral. Lineage: Bacteria; Bacillati; Bacillota; Clostridia; Eubacteriales; Oscillospiraceae.
CGGGACGGACAGCCGCGGGUUCGGGUCCAACGACCCGUUCAUGAGGAAAGUCCGGGCUCCACAGGGCAAGAAUAACGGGUAACGCCCGCCGAAGGCGACUUCAGGAAAAGUGCAACAGAGAUAUACCGCCCCGUUUGCGGGGUAAGGGUGGAAAGGCGAGGUAAGAGCUCACCCGCCGCAUGGGAACAUUGCGGCGCUGUAAACUCUAUUCGGAGCAACACCGUGGAGGGAACAAUGGUUUGCCCGACCGUUCCCGAGGAGGUGGCUUGAACGCAGCGGUAACGCUGCGUCCAGAUAGAUGGCUGUCGAUUACAGAACCCGGCUUACAGUCCCGAUC